This is an RNA transcript of Hevea brasiliensis (rubber tree), 1326 nucleotides long. RefSeq lists it as uncharacterized. The record is from RefSeq and is a predicted model, not a curated record. Lineage: Eukaryota; Viridiplantae; Streptophyta; Magnoliopsida; Malpighiales; Euphorbiaceae. The transcript is spliced from 3 exons.
AAGACCACAAACUUGCGACCUUUCGACUUUCGAUUUCAAUUCAGAACAAAGUUUCUUCCUUUUUGGUUUUUGGUGUUUCAGAAACCCUAACCCACGAAGGGAAAUCUCCGCAUCCAGGAUCCACCCAUUUGUAAUUGUCAGAGCUAACGUUGCGGGAGCUUUGACAAUGAACCACAUCAGAUCAUUGAGAGGUAUCAUGAGUAUUAAGAGGCGGUUAGGUCAUUGGACCGACGAACAUUUGCUGCUGAGACUGGCGGCAAAGCAAAAAAAGUGUCAGCGGGGGAGCAGGAGCUGAUGCUCCAAAAGCAUCAACACGCAAGGAAAUCCGGUAUACCAAUGUAAUUGGUGCCAAUAUUCGGUAGAGCAUAUCCCCAGAUCUUGCCAGAUUCUCUAUGCCUUGAUUGGCUGUGGCAUUCUCUCCCCUGCGAAGAUCUCAAAGGCUUUGUCAAGCUGGACAACCGUGCAAGAAUCAAGGAAAUUAACUCCUAACAGGCUAAGAAUUGACAUAAAGCAAUCUGUAAAAGGAAAAAAUCAAUAAGGCAUUUAUAUAUUUUAUUUCUUUUUCCUUUUCAGUAAAGAUUGCAUUCAUUAGAGUCUUUGGUGGUCUUGACUGUCCACCGUUUUCCUUUUUCAUAGUAAUUUAAUACACAUGGCUGGUUGGUUAAUUUAACAGUAGAUUAUUGGCAAAAAAUGCAGUAACAAGGAGAUUUGCAAAUUUUGACAUGGUCUUUUCUGGGCCAUGCUGCUCAAUCUAUGCCAUGAGGAAACAAGAGGAACAGGGUUAGACCCUUCCUGAAGAAUUUUUUUUUUUUUGUUGAUGGGAUCCAUCUGUUUCCAUGUAAAUUGACCUCAAAACGAACGAGCAAGUGUUGCUUCAUCUCAUGCAAUCAGAAAGUUCAUGGAAUUAUGCAGUUGGCCCCAAGUAUUAGACAUUGUCAUUGAACUCUUAAUAGGUAGAAGCCUCCUCACCCAACUCUUAACAAAUGGUGACCUCCAUCCUUGCUCUAGAGCUUCACAUUGAGGUACAAGCUUUUCCUUCUUCCCUCUUAUGAUUAACUGGUGGCCCUUACUAUGCUUAUGAGUAGGUGUACGACAAGCUUGGGAUUUUUAUUCUUAGCUUAACUUUUUCUUGUUGAUAGACUAGAGAAAAUUGUGGGUUAAUAUGUUACAAUAGGUACCAUCAUCACAAUUAUCUUUUUAUUUUUAUAAUUAGGUGUUCUAGUUAUGUUGGAGGCCCUACAUUUUUUUACCGUCUUAACCAAACAUGUAUCUAUAAUUUGUUAUAAAAUUUAUGUGGUUAUACUAUAAAAUUUCAUUUACGGACAA